This is a non-coding RNA of Gossypium hirsutum (cotton), 143 nucleotides long. NCBI's taxonomy places the organism in Eukaryota, Viridiplantae, Streptophyta, Magnoliopsida, Malvales, Malvaceae. The record is from Rfam.
UGUUAAAAUUUUCUUCUAUUUGUAUUGUUAAGAACUGACGUAGCUGACAGAAUAAUCAGGUAAUAACACAUGGCGUGCCAUAUGUAUCUCAUGUUAAUGUACGAAGACCAAUUUUAGCAAUAAAAAUGGAUGAAAAUUUAAUA